UUCAGUUUGGCAGAGUUUAAUGCAAUAAAUUUAGAAUUUAUCUAGGAAUUAUAUUCAAUUGAAA
Molecule: transfer RNA, 64 nt
Filed under: Bothriocroton concolor (echidna tick)
Lineage: Eukaryota; Metazoa; Arthropoda; Arachnida; Ixodida; Ixodidae
Description: tRNA-Leu
Source: RNAcentral